AGGACGUCUCGCGCACGGCGACGGGCGAUGUUAUUGAAGAUGGCAAGGGCGUCGAGUACAAGAUCGGCCUCGCGGGUACGAAUGCCGCGACGAACUA
Molecule: transfer RNA, 97 nt
Filed under: Selenomonas sp. CM52
Lineage: Bacteria; Bacillati; Bacillota; Negativicutes; Selenomonadales; Selenomonadaceae
Description: tRNA-Phe
Source: RNAcentral